UAACAAGGAUUCCCCUAGUAACUGCGAGUGAAGCGGGAAAAGCUCAAAUUUAAAAUCUGGCGGUCUUAUGGCCGUCCGAGUUGUAAUCUGGAGAAGUGUUUUCCGCGUCGGACCGUGUACAAGUCUCCUGGAACGGAGCGUCAUAGAGGGUGAGAAUCCCGUCCAUGACACGGACCGCCGAUGCUUUGUGAUACACUCUCGAAGAGUCGAGUUGUUUGGGAAUGCAGCUCAAAAUGGGUGGUAAAUUCCAUCUAAAGCUAAAUAUUGGCGAGAGACCGAUAGCGAACAAGUACCGUGAGGGAAAGAUGAAAAGCACUUUGGAAAGAGAGUUAAACAGUACGUGAAAUUGUUGAAAGGGAAACGCUUGAAGUCAGUCGCGUCUUUCAGAACUCAGCCUUGCUUCGGCUUGGUGUACUUUCUGUUAGACGGGUCAACGUCAAUUUCGAUCGACGGAGAAAGGUUGAAGGAAUGUAGCGUUGUUUCGGCGACGUGUUAUAGCCCUCUUCUGUAUACGUCGGCUGGGAUUGAGGACCGCAGCGCGCCUUUAUGGCCAGGGGUUCGCCCCAUGUACCGCGCUUAGGAUGUUGGCAUAAUGGCUUUAAGCGACCCGUCUUGAAACACGGACCAAGGAGUCUAACAUGCUUGCGAGUAUUCGGGUGGAAAACCCUUGUGCGUAAUGAAAGUAAAAGUUGGGAGCCUCCGCGAGGGGGUGCACCGACGCCCGGCCCUGACGUUCUCUGAUGGUGCUGCGGUAGAGCAAGUAUGUUGGGACCCGAAAGAUGGUGAACUAUGCCUGAAUAGGGCGAAGCCAGAGGAAACUCUGGUGGAGGCUCGUAGCGAUUCUGACGUGCAAAUCGAUCGUCAAAUUUGGG
RNAcentral lists this ribosomal RNA (872 nucleotides) under Porodaedalea cancriformans. Its description in RNAcentral is "eukaryotic LSU rRNA". It matches the Rfam family "Eukaryotic large subunit ribosomal RNA", at positions 66 to 915 of the family's 3401-position model. The record is from RNAcentral. Lineage: Eukaryota; Fungi; Basidiomycota; Agaricomycetes; Hymenochaetales; Hymenochaetaceae.